ACGGGUGAGUAAUGUCUGGGAAACUGCCUGAUGAGGGGGAUAACUACUGGAAACGGUAGCUAAUACCGCAUAACGUCGCAAGACCAAANAGGGGGACCUUCGGGCCUCUUGCCAUCAGAUGUUGCCCAGAUGGGAUUAGCUAGUAGGUGGGGUAACGGCUCACCUAGGCGACGAUCCCUAGCUGGUCUGAGAGGAUGACCAGCCACACUGGAACUGAGACACGGUCCAGACUCCUACGGGAGGCAGCAUG
This 250-nucleotide ribosomal RNA is filed under the name uncultured bacterium. RNAcentral's name for it is "partial 16S ribosomal RNA". It matches the Rfam family "Bacterial small subunit ribosomal RNA", at positions 102 to 353 of the family's 1533-position model. The record is from RNAcentral.